RNAcentral lists this ribosomal RNA (206 nucleotides) under uncultured bacterium. RNAcentral's name for it is "partial 16S ribosomal RNA". It matches the Rfam family "Bacterial small subunit ribosomal RNA", at positions 524 to 729 of the family's 1533-position model. The record is from RNAcentral.
GACAGAGGGUGCAAACGUUGUUCGGAAUUACUGGGCGUAAAGCGCGUGUAGGCUGCUUGGCAAGUCGGAUGUGAAAGCCCUGGGCUCAACCCAGGAAGUGCAUUCGAAACUGCCGAGCUGGAGUCCUGGAGAGGAAGGCGGAAUUCUCGGUGUAGAGGUGAAAUUCGUAGAUAUGGGGAGGAACACCGGUGGCGAAGGCGGGCCAC